This 248-nucleotide ribosomal RNA is filed under the name uncultured bacterium. RNAcentral describes it as "partial 16S ribosomal RNA". It matches the Rfam family "Bacterial small subunit ribosomal RNA", at positions 1253 to 1500 of the family's 1533-position model. The record is from RNAcentral.
AAUAGUGAUAUUAAGCAAAACCCAAAAAGACAGUCUCAGUUCGGAUUGAAGGCUGAAAUUCGCCUUCAUGAAGCCGGAAUUGCUAGUAAUGGCAGGUCAGCAUACUGCCGUGAAUACGUUCCCGGGCCUUGUACACACCGCCCGUCACACCAUGAGAGUUGGGGAUACCCGAAGCCUGUGAGCUAACAGUAAUGAAGCAGCAGUCGAAGGUAGAAUCAAUGAUUGGGGUGAAGUCGUAACAAGGUACC